AGCAGAAUGGUGUAGUGGUUUGAGCAUUGGACUAGGACUCUGGAGACCAGGGUUCAAAUCCCUGCUUGGCCA
Phrynosoma platyrhinos (Desert horned lizard) is the source of this 72-nucleotide non-coding RNA. NCBI's taxonomy places the organism in Eukaryota, Metazoa, Chordata, Lepidosauria, Squamata, Phrynosomatidae. The record is from the annotation of a GenBank genome assembly.